GGUGAAUAAGUCGGCCUCUUUUAUA
RNAcentral lists this non-coding RNA (25 nucleotides) under Mus musculus (house mouse). The record is from RNAcentral. Lineage: Eukaryota; Metazoa; Chordata; Mammalia; Rodentia; Muridae.